CGGAGGGUUGAUGACGUCAUGAAAGGACAAAUUGAUUUACCGCGAGGUCAUCAAGUCUCUCCGAGCAGCCGGCUGCGGAAAAGCGGAGGCGCCAUCUUGAGACACUGAAACGUAGCUCCGCCACCAUGUACCCGACUUCUCUGACGCAGCUGGCAAGAGCCAACCCGUUCGGCGCCCCUCUGUUCAGCCUCCAGAAAGUGGAAGAACCCCAACAGAGCCUCAAUGGACAACGGCCUCGCAGACUGGCAGCAGCUGCAACAGCAGACGAGGGAGACAGUUGUGAGUUCGGCUCUCAGAAGUAUUUUAUCCUGUGUGGUUUUGGUGGGAUUCUGAGCUGUGGCACCACACACACAGCUGUUGUUCCCCUCGACCUGGUCAAAUGCAGAAUGCAGGUCUGUUGCAGUAGCUCGAUCUAUUUUUUUUUCUUUUUUCUUUUGAAUGUAACUUCAUCCCCGCCAGUCCUCCUCCUUUCUGUUAAUAAGCAUUAAUCUGCAUGGUGGAGGUUGUUUUUGUUUUAAUUCCGAUCACAUUUUGUUGAUGUGACAAUAUCACUGCAUGAUUCCAUAAAACCCCGUGUUCCACUGCAGGGGUCAGUGGAGCCGACCCGUUUAGAAAGUGUAGGAAUUUCCACAGUUUGUCACUGGCAAGUAUGUUUUGAAAGUGGAGGUAAUUACAUAUGUAAGGAAUAAAAACAAACAUACAAUUUUCACAUGGAUAGGUAAAAGUUGGUAUGGGACAGCACACUGGAUUUCUUUCUGGUAAAAAGAGAGGCCAGAUUGAGACUUUUAACUGCAUGCCAUGCAGGUGUUUUUUGUUGUUGAUUUUUCUCGGUGAACUGCAAUAUCAUUAAACAGUUAAACUCAAUUAUUUAAACAUAUUCCCCACACUGGCAUAUUUACUUAUUCUUUAGUGAUUCUCACUUGAUGUUGAAACUCCAAACUUUGUCUCUCUUGUUUUUUAUGCUUGUGGUGAGAGGCUUGUGCCUGGUGAGAUGCAGGGUGUAUCCUGGACACAUCUCCAGUCCAUCUCAGGCCAACACUGAGACCCAGGACACACAAUAAUGCAUGCACAUGUUCAUGCCCAAGCAUGCAAUUUAGAGAGAACUGCUUAAAAUUGAUGAGAGAAAGAACUCAAGAAUAAAAGGGAAAA
Poecilia latipinna (sailfin molly) is the source of this 1149-nucleotide long non-coding RNA. RefSeq lists it as uncharacterized. The transcript is spliced from 3 exons. The record is from RefSeq and is a predicted model, not a curated record. Lineage: Eukaryota; Metazoa; Chordata; Actinopteri; Cyprinodontiformes; Poeciliidae.